This is a long non-coding RNA of Rosa rugosa (rugosa rose), 2090 nucleotides long. RefSeq lists it as uncharacterized. The record is from RefSeq and is a predicted model, not a curated record. NCBI's taxonomy places the organism in Eukaryota, Viridiplantae, Streptophyta, Magnoliopsida, Rosales, Rosaceae. The transcript is spliced from 8 exons.
UUAUUGAUCUGUUGUUGGAGAAGCUUGAAACAAAUUGAAGUCUCCCCACCAAACAACUUAAUUGAAUCCAAUAGUCCCAUUUACUCCCACCAAGCCCGGCAGCCACUUACUCCUUCCAAAAUAGCAACCCAUUUACUUCCUCAGUUCCUCUAACCAAUACACAUAUGCCUACUGAAUGUGUCGAAACCUCCGUCCUCACAAAACCAAUUGCCUCUCUCCCUUCUCACAAAACGUGAAACCCUCUCUUCUCUAUCACUGAUUUACUCUCUCCUCUGUCCUCCGUCCUAGUCUUCUGGCAAACUCCUCUGCGAAAUUGAAAUGGGUUUGUUUGUAAUUGCGAGUUUCUCUUAGAUUUAGGGUUCUUAGGUUCCAUUCUCUUAGAUUGUUCAUCUUCCUCUUCAGCGACAUGGGAGAUAGAGUGCCCCAGAUCCAUUUUCUCUAUCUCCUCCUUGCCUUCAAACUAGGGUCAAUUGAAGAGAUGUUGAAGACGAAGGUGUCCGAGAUGGCGGAGGCGAACGUGCUGUGCUACGCCGAUGAGGCGGCGCUACGCUGGGCCUGUGACGAGAAGGUCCACGCCGCCAACAUGCUCGCCAGCAAGCACUAAAGGGUUUCACUUUCCGCUUCCCAGAUGCCCAAGUGUGAUAUCUGCCAGGGUGGUGAUUGUGCUGAGAGCUUCAAGGAGUUCAGUGCCAAUAACAAAUAACAUUAGGGACAACUUCAGAGUUAUGCUUGAGAUGAGUGUGGUUCUUAUGUUUGGUGGGCAAAUGAAUAUUGUCAAGGUGGGAAGAAUGGCAGGCUGGGUUAGACGGGCAUGGCAGUCCUCUGAAGAUCAGCUCUCGUCUGUCACCAGUUUGGAUGCUGUGGUCUUCGAUCAUUGCACAUUUUCAUCUUUAGUUUGACGGUGUUUGGGUUCACUGGGAUUAUUGGGGCUUUUGUUCUUCUGCCAAUAAAUUUUCUGGGGACCCAGCUGGAGGUGGAUUUUUCGGAUUUGCCUAACAAGUCUUUGGACUCGUUUAGUAUUUCAAAUAUGGAUGAUGGCUCAAACUGGUACUUUCAAAAUCAACUUCUCCUUAUUAUCUACAGAUUGCAAAGAAACUUAAUGGUGAGCAAAAAAGCUAGCUUUGGUUUCGACUUGGCUACAGACAUGACGGUUGAUGCUUUUGCAGCAUCAUACUUCAACACAUUUGUUGAGCAACACAAUGGAUCCAAAGGAUCUUGUUAAACUCAUUGUUAACUUUCAUGUUACGUGGCUAACAAUGGUAUCUUCUAAUUCAUCUAAUGUUGUUUUCUUGAUAGAAAGGUUGCUAAAUGAUAGAUUAAAUUUGUAUAUCAAUUCCUUCAUUUUCCAUGUCCCUUUUCCUAUGCAUGUUAUCUUUCCAAUAUAUUUUCUAACUUGGUGUUUAUGAGUAUCCCUGCUUCAGCUGGGACUUGCAAUGCUAUUCUGGUUAUAAACCAUCUGAGUUGCAAGAUUGUGUCCUUGCCCUUCAUGACUUGCGGCUGAAUAAAUAAGGAAGCAAUUUGCGAGCAGUUACACACACACACAAGCAAAGCUGUUAGUGGCUUGUAAAGCUCAUGUUGUGGAGACUCUAGUUUUGAUUGGUUGUUAGGUUCGUCAUCAGCAAGGUCAUCAAAUCCCUUAUUUUGGACAUUGUUGGCGAACUGAGGAAGCGUAGAGACAAAGAAAGCAUAUAGAUGAAGAAGGGAUUGAAAGGUUUUCAACAGUCUUCAAUUAUGACAGUGAGGACUGGGAAGGAAGACAUUAGAACCAUAACCAAGGAUGUCCACCCUGCGGCAAUGAUCCAAAGCUCGAGAAGCAACGUAAAUGAGUUUUGGAGUGGGAUCUUAGAGCUCGAGAAGCAAGUACCAUGGAUUACCUCCUUUCAGCAUAUGAGCUACCAAGUUUGAUUCAUGGGUCUAGCUAGCAGCUAGGAAUAAUGCUUUUGAUUCAUGUGUAGGUAGCAGCUAGGAAUGCUUUCUUGUUUGGUGUAUUAUCUAAUAACUUGAAUGUUUGGAAGUUUGAAAAAUGCCACUUAUAUGAUAUGGAUUAGUGUGGUUUUAUGUGGUAAUAUGGAGCAUUAUUUUUGAAAAGA